This 120-nucleotide ribosomal RNA is filed under the name uncultured bacterium. RNAcentral's name for it is "partial 16S ribosomal RNA". It matches the Rfam family "Bacterial small subunit ribosomal RNA", at positions 30 to 141 of the family's 1533-position model. The record is from RNAcentral.
AUUGAACGCUGGCGGCAUGCCUAACACAUGCAAGUCGAACGGCAGCACAGCAGAGCUUGCUCUGUGGGUGGCGAGUGGCGGACGGGUGAGUAAUGCAUCGGGACCUACCCAGACGUGGGG